This 466-nucleotide ribosomal RNA is filed under the name uncultured bacterium. Its description in RNAcentral is "partial 16S ribosomal RNA". It matches the Rfam family "Bacterial small subunit ribosomal RNA", at positions 28 to 506 of the family's 1533-position model. The record is from RNAcentral.
GACGAACGCUGGCGGCGUGCUUAACACAUGCAAGUCGAACGGAAAGGCCCUGCUUUUGUGGGGUGCUCGAGUGGCGAACGGGUGAGUAACACGUGAGUAACCUGCCCUUGACUUUGGGAUAACUUCAGGAAACUGGGGCUAAUACCGGAUAGGAGCUCCUGCUGCAUGGGGGGUGUUGGAAAGUUUCGGCGGUUGGGGAUGGACUAGCGGCUUAUCAGCUUGUUGGUGGGGUAGUGGCUUACCAAGGCUUUGACGGUAGCCGGCCUGAGAGGGUGACCGGCCACAUUGGGACUGAGAUACGGCCAAGACUCCUACGGGAGGGCGCAGUGAGGAAUAUUGCACAAUGGGCGGAGGCCUGAUGCAGCAACGCCGCGUGCGGGAUGACGGCAUUCGGGUUGUAAACCGCUUUCGCCUGUGACGAAGCGUGAGUGACGGUACUGGGUGAAGAAGAACCGGCUAACUACGU